Molecule: non-coding RNA, 617 nt
Organism: Rattus norvegicus (Norway rat)
Lineage: Eukaryota; Metazoa; Chordata; Mammalia; Rodentia; Muridae
Source: RefSeq, a predicted model, not a curated record
GAACAGACGUCUGCUUAUCAGUUACUAACCAUAUAAGGGCAGUCGUCCUUUUGUUCUUCGCUCGAGAUUAAGAAAGAGGCAUGGGGGCAUCAAGUUUGACAUGCUGCAGGAGCUUCCUGCCUGGAGUCCUAAGAAAUUUUUCAGUUCAAAGAAUCUGGAAUGAAGGUGUGUCUUCCUACCUCAAAGCAGGAGUGAAUCUCCCUACUCCAAAGUAAGCAAAAAUUCCUCACAGGAAAGAACAGCUGCAAUACUAGGGGAGCCUUUGGACACCAGGCAUUGUGGAAGCACUAUGGACAAUGCACAACCACAAGGAGGUAUACCAUUAGAAUUAAACAGGCAAACUGCAGUGGUCAGAUUUACAUUUUCAGUAUGUGCAGAUUCUAGUAAGCCAUGUUUUGUAAGUGUUGGCUAAUGCCUUCUUAUCUCAAUGACAGAUGAGAAAUUCAUCAGAAAUGAUGCACUUAAUAAAAAAGAAUUUAAACAGAUAAUUCCUGGAUUGGAAUAAGAAGAGGCAAUACCUGGAUACUCUUGGGAAUGUCUUCCAUGGCCUGUAUAAUUUUGCUCUAUAUGCCAGAUUAUAAGAUAUAAAUAUAGAUGUCAAGCAGUUUCUGUAAGGA